This 449-nucleotide ribosomal RNA is filed under the name uncultured bacterium. RNAcentral describes it as "partial 16S ribosomal RNA". It matches the Rfam family "Bacterial small subunit ribosomal RNA", at positions 29 to 523 of the family's 1533-position model. The record is from RNAcentral.
AGCGAACGCUGGCGGCAGGCCUAACACAUGCAAGUCGAACGAACUCUUCGGAGUUAGUGGCGGACGGGUGAGUAACACGUGGGAACGUGCCCUUAGGUUCGGAAUAACUCAGGGAAACUUGUGCUAAUACCGAAUGUGCCCUUCGGGGGAAAGAUUUAUCGCCUUUAGAGCGGCCCGCGUCUGAUUAGCUAGUUGGUGAGGUGAAGGCUCACCAAGGCGACGAUCAGUAGCUGGUCUGAGAGGAUGAUCAGCCACAUUGGGACUGAGACACGGCCCAAACUCCUACGGGAGGCAGCAGUGGGGAAUCUUGCGCAAUGGGCGAAAGCCUGACGCAGCCAUGCCGCGUGAAUGAUGAAGGUCUUAGGAUUGUAAAAUUCUUUCACCGGGGACGAUAAUGACGGUACCCGGAGAAGAAGCCCCGGCUAACUUCGUGCCAGCAGCCGCCGUAA